RNAcentral lists this ribosomal RNA (253 nucleotides) under uncultured bacterium. RNAcentral's name for it is "partial 16S ribosomal RNA". It matches the Rfam family "Bacterial small subunit ribosomal RNA", at positions 524 to 776 of the family's 1533-position model. The record is from RNAcentral.
GACAGAGGGGGCAAGCGUUGCUCGGAAUUACUGGGCGUAAAGGGCGCGUAGGCGGGAUGGCAAGUCGGUCGUGAAAUCCCUCGGCUCAACUGAGGAUCGUCGAUCGAUACUGCCGUUCUUGAGGAUUGCAGAGGAGACUGGAAUUCCCGGUGUAGCGGUGAAAUGUGUAGAGAUCGGGAGGAACACCGGUGGCGAAGGCGGGUCUCUGGGCAAUUCCUGACGCUGAGGCGCGAAAGCAUGGGGAGCGAACAGG